This 468-nucleotide ribosomal RNA is filed under the name uncultured bacterium. RNAcentral describes it as "partial 16S ribosomal RNA". It matches the Rfam family "Bacterial small subunit ribosomal RNA", at positions 28 to 507 of the family's 1533-position model. The record is from RNAcentral.
GACGAACGCUGGCGGCGUGCUUAACACAUGCAAGUCGAACGGAAAGGCCCUGCUUUUGUGGGGUGCUCGAGUGGCGAACGGGUGAGUAACACGUGAGUAACCUGCCCUUGACUUUGGGAUAACUUCAGGAAACUGGGGCUAAUACCGGAUAGGAGCUCCUGCUGCAUGGUGGGGGUUGGAAAGUUUCGGCGGUUGGGGAUGGACUCGCGGCUUAUCAGCUUGUUGGUGGGGUAGUGGCGUACCAAGGCUUUGACGGGUAGCCGGCCUGAGAGGGUGACCGGCAACAUUGGGACUGAGAUACGGCCCAGACGCCUACGGGAGGCAGCAGUGGGGAAUAUUGCACAAUGGGCGGAAGCCUGAUGCAGCAACGCCGCGUGCGGGAUGACGGCCUUCGGGUUGUAAACCGCUUUCGCCUGUGACGAAGCGUGAGUGACGGUAAUGGGUAAAGAAGCACCGGCUAACUACGUG